This 69-nucleotide transfer RNA is filed under the name Paragonimus westermani. RNAcentral's name for it is "tRNA-Gly". The stretch from base 5 to 62 matches the Rfam family "tRNA", at positions 7 to 64 of the family's 71-position model. Rfam says of the family: Transfer RNA (tRNA) molecules are approximately 80 nucleotides in length. Their secondary structure includes four short double-helical elements and three loops (D, anti-codon, and T loops). Lineage: Eukaryota; Metazoa; Platyhelminthes; Trematoda; Plagiorchiida; Troglotrematidae. The record is from RNAcentral.
ACGUGUGGUUCAGUGGUAGAGUGCUCGCCUGCCACGCGGGCGGCCCGGGUUCGACUCCCGGCCGACGCA